RNAcentral lists this ribosomal RNA (253 nucleotides) under uncultured bacterium. Its description in RNAcentral is "partial 16S ribosomal RNA". It matches the Rfam family "Bacterial small subunit ribosomal RNA", at positions 524 to 776 of the family's 1533-position model. The record is from RNAcentral.
UACGUAGGGUGCGAGCGUUAAUCGGAAUUACUGGGCGUAAAGCGCGCGUAGGUGGUUUGUUAAGUCUGAUGUGAAAGCCCGCGGCUCAACCGUGGAAUUGCCAUUGAAACUGCAUAGCUUGAGUACAGUUGAAGUGGGCGGAAUAUGUCAUGUAGCGGUGAAAUGCUUAGAUAUGACAUAGAACACCGAUUGCGAAGGCAGCUCACUAAGCUGUAACUGACACUGAGGCACGAAAGCGUGGUUAGCGAACAGG